This 100-nucleotide small nuclear RNA is filed under the name Salvator merianae (Argentine black and white tegu). Lineage: Eukaryota; Metazoa; Chordata; Lepidosauria; Squamata; Teiidae. The record is from RNAcentral.
GUGCUCGCUUUGGCAGCACAUAUACUAAAAUUGGAACGAUACAGAGAAGAUUAGCAUGGCCCCUGCGCAAAUUUUUUUUUNAAAAAAAUAAAACUAUAUU